CCUACGGGAGGCAGCAGUGAGGAAUAUUGGUCAAUGGACGCAAGUCUGAACCAGCCAUGCCGCGUGCAGGAAGACGGCUCUAUGAGUUGUAAACUGCUUUUGUACGAGGGUAAACGCAGAUACGUGUAGGGGUCUGAAAGUAUCGUACGAAUAAGGAUCGGCUAACUCCGUGCCAGCAGCCGCGGUAAUACGGAGGAUUCAAGCGUUAUCCGGAUUUAUUGGGUUUAAAGGGUGUGUAGGCGGUCGGAUAAGUUAGAGGUGAAAUCCCGAGGCUCAACUUCGGAAUUGCCUCUGAUACUGUUCGCCUAGCGCGUAGUUGCGGUAGGCGGAAUGUGUGGUGUAGCGGUGAAAUGCUUAGACAUCAUUCAGAACACCGAUUGCGAAGGCAGCUUACCAAGCUACUUCUGACGUUGAUGCACGAAAGCGUGGGGAGCAAACAGGAUUAGAUACCCUAGUAGUC
RNAcentral lists this ribosomal RNA (460 nucleotides) under uncultured bacterium. RNAcentral's name for it is "partial 16S ribosomal RNA". It matches the Rfam family "Bacterial small subunit ribosomal RNA", at positions 338 to 795 of the family's 1533-position model. The record is from RNAcentral.